Solanum tuberosum (potato) is the source of this 173-nucleotide long non-coding RNA. RefSeq lists it as uncharacterized. The record is from RefSeq and is a predicted model, not a curated record. The transcript is spliced from 2 exons. NCBI's taxonomy places the organism in Eukaryota, Viridiplantae, Streptophyta, Magnoliopsida, Solanales, Solanaceae.
AACUAUGAAUGAGGUGAUUCAAAGUCCUGUGGGUUUGUGGAGUUUGUGGCUACAUGGGAGAGUGAUCAGAAGUUGUUAAGGUUUCUUCGUUUGAGCGUGACAAAAUUGUUAGUCCAUUCAGAAAGGAAAAACUCCAGAGAGGUGAUUUGGAGUGCGCACGGUCAGCCUUAAGG